GCUCCCAUCAGAUCACCUUCAAUACCAACCAUGUUCUCUGUAGCUCUGCUGCUGCUGCUGGCUGCUGGAUCCUGUGUGAAGUGUGAACAGUUGACACAGCCAGCCUCAGUGACUGUGCAGCCAGGUCAACGUCUGACCAUCACCUGUCAGGUCUCUUAUUCUGUUAGCAGCAAUUACACAGCUUGGAUCAGACAACCUGCAGGGAAAGAACUGGAGUGGAUUGGAAUGAGAGCUGGAUCCACCACAUACUACAAGGAUUCACUAAAGAACAAAUUCAAUAUCGACUUAGACUCUUCCAGCAAAACAGUGACUCUAAACGGACAGAAUGUGCAGCCUGAAGACACUGCUGUGUAUUACUGUGCCAAAGACCCACAAUAACACAAACCAUCAGCAGACCUGAACAAAAACCCCUCAGUGCCUGAACACUUGUAACAUGAAGCCACCAGAGGAGGAGCCCUCAGACCACUAAUGAUUUCAACACCAG
Thunnus maccoyii (southern bluefin tuna) is the source of this 484-nucleotide non-coding RNA. The record is from the annotation of a RefSeq genome assembly. NCBI's taxonomy places the organism in Eukaryota, Metazoa, Chordata, Actinopteri, Scombriformes, Scombridae.